ACAUCCCACAGUUUUUUCACAAACAGUAAAAUGAGCAAGACCUGGAUCAGGAGGAUGGUAUUAAAACCCAGGAGUGAGACUGGGAGAAACAGGCUUCAUACCUGGCUCUACUGCAGGCUCUCUUUGGCAAGUCUCAACCUGAGAUGCCUGUGGCUCAGUGUGAUUGUCUUCUCAAUAUCAGGAGGCAGAAUGACAGUAAAAUAUGGAUCUAUGCCUACUUUCCAG
This 225-nucleotide long non-coding RNA is filed under the name Cyanistes caeruleus (blue tit). Its description in RNAcentral is "lncRNA (ENSCCEG00000022631.1)". Lineage: Eukaryota; Metazoa; Chordata; Aves; Passeriformes; Paridae. The record is from RNAcentral.